Molecule: ribosomal RNA, 122 nt
Filed under: Corynebacterium xerosis
Lineage: Bacteria; Bacillati; Actinomycetota; Actinomycetes; Mycobacteriales; Corynebacteriaceae
Also listed under: 1 other name
Source: RNAcentral
GUUACGGCGGUCAUAGCGUCGAGGAAACGCCCGGUUCCAUUCCGAACCCGGAAGCUAAGCUCGAUUGCGCCGAUGGUACUGCACUCGGGAGGGUGUGGGAGAGUAGGUCGCCGCCGGACAUC